This 560-nucleotide ribosomal RNA is filed under the name uncultured bacterium. Its description in RNAcentral is "partial 16S ribosomal RNA". It matches the Rfam family "Bacterial small subunit ribosomal RNA", at positions 355 to 1375 of the family's 1533-position model. The record is from RNAcentral.
UGGGGAAUAUUGGACAACGGGCGCAAGCCUGAUCCAGCCAUGCCGCGUGAGUGAUGAAGGCCUUAGGGUUGUAAAGCUCUUUCGGCGGGGACGAUAAUGACGGUACCCGCAGAAGAAGCCCCGGCUAACUUCGUGCCAGCAGCCGCGGUAAUACGAAGGGGGCUAGCGUUGCUCGGAAUCACUGGGCGUAAAGGGCGCGUAGGCGGACAUUUAAGUCGGGGGUGAAAGCCCAGGGCUCAACCCUGGAAUUGCCUCCGAUACUGGGUGUCUCGAGACCGGAAGAGGUGAGUGGAACUGCGAGUGUAGAGGUGAAAUUCGUAGAUAUUCGCAAGAACACCAGUGGCGAAGGCGGCUCACUGGUCCGGUUCUGACGCUGAGGCGCGAAAGCGUGGGGAGCAAACAGGAUUAGAUACCCUGGUAGUCCACGCCGUAAACGAUGGAUGCUAGCCGUUGGCAGGCUUGCCUGUCAGUGGCGCAGCUAACGCUUUAAGCAUCCCGCCUGGGGAGUACGGCCGCAAGGUUAAAACUCAAAUGAAUUGACGGGGUCAUAGCUGUUUCCU